CUAAUCAGUUGUUGAUAAACAAUGAAUUUUAGGGAUAAUAAUAAAGAUGAAAGGUCCGAUAGAGAUCUUUGAAACCGUUUCUUCAUACCGGCAGUUGGUACCGUAUCACAAUUUAGUUGAGACAUUGAUAAAAAGAUAAAUUUGUUUCAUCUGAUGUAUUAUUUUUUGUUUAUAUGUGAGCAGGUUGUCCGUUUCUUUUCAGUGUAUCUUUUGUUUUGAUGCUGAAGUUAAUAGAUUUGAUUAUGAUCGUUAUAAAUUUUUGCAAUGUAUCAAGUCAUAUUGGUUCAGCACCUGUUUCUUCAAGGUUUUCAUUGAUCCCACUUCUUAACUGCAUUAGGCUGCUUUAUCAAGUCCACCUUUCUAAUGCCAAGAAAUCAUCUGCCACAACUGAAAUCAAACACAAGUUGGAUAAUGACAGCGACAAGGACAUUUUUAAGUUGGGGAGAAAAGAUCUUCUUCCGAAAGUGAAGGGAACCAAAACAAAACAAUAAUUGGUGUUGUAUAUUGACCGAUGAGAGCGUGAAAAGAGAGACCGGAUUGAUGCAAACGUUGUCGUAUUGUUGCAGAGUACACCACUAUAGUGUUGCUAACAAUGGCAAACUUCAGUUUUACUAGGGGUUUAAUUUUGAUUAUUAAGACUGGGAGAUGAAGGUGAUUAUGCAUAUACCAUUACUGUGAGGUACUUUUUUUGUUUACAAGUAG
Molecule: long non-coding RNA, 702 nt
Organism: Helianthus annuus (common sunflower)
Lineage: Eukaryota; Viridiplantae; Streptophyta; Magnoliopsida; Asterales; Asteraceae
Exons: 5
Source: RefSeq, a predicted model, not a curated record